CGUGAAAAGCACCCCGACAAGGGGAGUGAAAGAGAUCCUGAAACCGAAUGCCUACAAACAGUUGGAGCCCAAGAUUUGUUCUGGGUGACAGCGUACCUUUUGUAUAAUGGGUCAGCGACUUAGUCUGACGAGCAAGCUUAAACCGGUAGGUGUAGGCGCAGCGAAAGCGAGUCUGAACAGGGCGUUCAGUUCGUUGGAUUAGACCCGAAACCAAGUGAUCUAGCCAUGAGCAGGUUGAAGGUAAGGUAACACUUACUGGAGGACCGAACCCGCAUCUGUUGCAAUAGAUUGGGAUGACUUGUGGCUAGGGGUGAAAGGCCAAUCAAACUUGGAGAUAGCUGGUUCUCCGCGAAAUCUAUUUAGGUAGAGCGUCGAUCGAAUACCUUCGGGGGUAGAGCACUGGAUGGGCUAGGGGAUCUCACCGAUUUACCAAACCUAACCAAACUCCGAAUACCGAAGAGUACUAAUCGGCAGACACACGGCGGGUGCUAACGUCCGUCGUGAAGAGGGCAACAACCCUGACCACCAUCUAAGGUCCCUAAGUUAUGGCUAAGUGGGAAAGGAUGUGAGGAUCCCAAAACAACCAGGAUGUUGGCUUAGAAGCAGCCAUCAUUUAAAGAAAGCGUAACAGCUCACUGGUCUAAAUAAGGGUCUUUGCGCCGAAAAUGUACCGGGGCUCAAGCCAUACACCGAAGCUGUGGAUUUGCUUAGCAAUAAGCAAGUGGUAGCGGAGCGUUCUGUAAGCCGUUGAAGAGGGACCCGUGAGGGCCUAUGGAGGUAUCAGAAGUGAGAAUGCUGACAUGAGUAACGAUAAAGGGAGUGAGAGACUCCCUCGCCGAAAGUCCAAGGGUUCCUGCUUAAAGUUAAUCUGAGCAGGGUUAGCCGGCCCCUAAGGCGAGGCCGAAAGGCGUAGUCGAUGGGAACCACGUUAAUAUUCGUGGGCCUGCGGGUAGUGACGGAUCGCGUAGACUGUUCCUCCUUAUUGGAUUGGAGGGGCUUUUGAGCGGUUCCAGGAAAUAGCUCCCGCGUAUAGACCGUACCCUAAACCGACACUGGUGGACUGGUAGAGCAUACCAAGGCGCUUGAGAGAACUGCGUUGAAGGAACUCGGCAAAUUGCACGCGUAACUUCGGAAGAAGCGUGACCCUUUUUGACGCAAGUCAAGGAGGGUGGCACAGACCAGGGGGUAGCGACUGUUUACCAAAAACACAGGGCUCUGCGAAGUCGCAAGACGACGUAUAGGGUCUGACGCCUGCCCGGUGCUGGAAGGUUAAGAGGAGAGGUGCAAGCUUUGAAUCGAAGCCCCAGUAAACGGCGGCCGUAACAAUAACGGUCCUAAGGUAGCGAAAUUCCUUGUCGGGUAAGUUCCGACCUGCACGAAUGGCGUAACGACUUCCCCGCUGUCUCCAACGCAGACUCAGUGAAAUUGAAUUCCCCGUGAAGAUGCGGGGUUCCUGCGGUUAGACGGAAAGACCCCGUGCACCUUUACUAUAGCUUUACACUGGCAUUCGUGUCGGCAUGUGA
This 1523-nucleotide ribosomal RNA is filed under the name metagenome. RNAcentral describes it as "bacterial LSU rRNA". It matches the Rfam family "Bacterial large subunit ribosomal RNA", at positions 513 to 2139 of the family's 2925-position model. The record is from RNAcentral.